UCUUGUACACACCGCCCGUCACACCACGGGAGUUGGAGACGCCCGAAGCCGAUUAUCUAACCUUUUGGAAGAAGUCGUCGAAGGUGGAAUCAAUAACUGGGGUGAAGUCGUAACAAGGUAGCCGUAUCGGAAGGUGCGGCUGGAUCACCUCCUUU
RNAcentral lists this ribosomal RNA (155 nucleotides) under Acinetobacter baumannii. Its description in RNAcentral is "partial 16S ribosomal RNA". It matches the Rfam family "Bacterial small subunit ribosomal RNA", at positions 1379 to 1533 of the family's 1533-position model. RNAcentral also lists the same sequence under 1 other name. Lineage: Bacteria; Pseudomonadati; Pseudomonadota; Gammaproteobacteria; Moraxellales; Moraxellaceae. The record is from RNAcentral.